Molecule: long non-coding RNA, 1476 nt
Filed under: Callithrix jacchus (white-tufted-ear marmoset)
Lineage: Eukaryota; Metazoa; Chordata; Mammalia; Primates; Cebidae
Description: lncRNA (ENSCJAG00000073018.1)
Source: RNAcentral
AUGAUCAUCAUCACUAUAAUCACUAUCAUCAUUACUGUCAUCAUACUAUCAUCACCAUCACCACCGUCAUCACCAUCACCAUCAUCAUCAUUACCGUCAUCAUUACUCUUAUUACCAUCAUCCCAUCAUUACCAUCACUGUCAUCACACUCACUAUCAUCACCACCACCAUCAUCACCAUUGCCAUCAUCAUCACCAUCACCAUCAUUAUCACCAUCACCAUCAUCACACUCACUAUCAUCACCACCACCACCAUCAUCAUCAUUGCCAUCAUCAUCACCGUCUCCAUCAUUAUCACCAUCACCGUCAUCACACUCACUAUCAUCACCACCACCACCAUCAUCACCAUUGCCAUCAUCAUCACCGUCUCCAUCAUUAUCACCAUCACCGUCAUCACACUCACUAUCAUCACCACCACCACCAUCAUCACCAUUGCCAUCAUCAUCACCGUCUCCAUCAUUAUCACCAUCACCGUCAUCACACUCACUAUCAUCACCACCACCAUCAUCAUCACCAUUGCCAUCAUCAUCACCGUCUCCAUCAUUAUCACCAUCACCGUCAUCACACUCACUAUCAUCACCACCACCAUCAUCACCAUUGCCAUCAUCAUCACCGUCUCCAUUAUCAUCACCAUCACCAUCAUUAUCACCAUCACCGUCAUCACUAUCAUCACCACCACCAUCACCAUUGCCAUCAUCAUCACCAUCACCAUCAUCACCAACACCGUCAUCACACUCACCAUUAUCACCACCACCACCAUCAUCACCAUUGCCAUCAUCAUCACCAUUGCCAUCAUCAUCACCAUCUCCAUCAUUAUCACCAUCACCAUCAUCACACUCACCAUCAUCACCACUACCACCAUCAUCACCAUUGCCAUCAUCAUCACCGUCUCCAUCAUUAUCACCAUCACCGUCAUCACACUCACUAUCAUCACCACCACCACCAUCACCAUUGCCAUCAUCAUCACCAUCUCCAUCAUUACUAUUAUUAUUAUCAUCAUCACAUCAUCAGUAUAAUCACUAAUAUGAUCACCAUCAUCACUACCAUAAUCCCAUCAUUACCAUCAUUACCACUAUCACCAUCACCAUCAUUCUCACCAUCACCAUCACCAUAUUAUCACCAUCACCAUCAUCACCAUCACCAUCAUUAUCACCAUCACUGUCAUCACCAUCACCAUCACCAUCAUCACCAUCACCAUCACCAUCAUUAUCACCAUUACCAUCACCAUCACCAUCAUUAUCACCAUCACUGUCAUCAUCACCAUCACCAUCAUUAUCAUCAUCAUCACCACUACCAUCAUGAUCAUCACCAUCAUUAUCAGCACCACCACCAUCAUUACCAUCACCAUUAUCACCAUCAUCACCACCAACAUCAUCAUCUCCAUGAACAUCGCCAUCACCAUCAUCAUCACUACUACUACCUUACCAUCAAUGUAAGGUACCUACUGCCUUACCUAGCACCAUCAAUGUUGCCAUAA